RNAcentral lists this long non-coding RNA (313 nucleotides) under Pan troglodytes (chimpanzee). RNAcentral's name for it is "lincRNA". Lineage: Eukaryota; Metazoa; Chordata; Mammalia; Primates; Hominidae. The record is from RNAcentral.
AUACUGAGUGUUUUUGGAAGAGUCCUUGUUCCUGAUGCUGGGCAUUUCUGGAAGAGGCCUUUUUCACUGGGGCCUCCCUAAGCAUGGGACUAAGGUGACCGCCAUGAUGAAAGACCAGAUUCUCAUGAAGAAACCAUUUGUGAAGGAUUUUGAUCAGGCAACAUGGGCAUGCAGGUUUAAACACAGCCCCCAGCCUUCCAUGCCUGGCAAGCCACUUUCUAAUGCAUGUCUAGAUUUCUCAAUGAAAAACGUAGUUGAACUCAUGAAAGCCUAUCUUUAAAAAAUAUUAAAUAGCUAAUCUUAUAAACCCCUA